This 111-nucleotide ribosomal RNA is filed under the name Bacteroidota bacterium. RNAcentral also lists the same sequence under 1 other name. Lineage: Bacteria; Pseudomonadati; Bacteroidota. The record is from RNAcentral.
UUAGGUGGCUAUAGCGGCGGGGCACCACCUCUUCCCAUUCCGAACAGAGAAGUUAAGCCCGCCAGCGCCGAUGGUACUGCGUAACAGUGGGAGAGUAGGUCGCUGCCAACU